Molecule: ribosomal RNA, 279 nt
Filed under: uncultured bacterium
Lineage: Bacteria
Description: partial 16S ribosomal RNA
Rfam family: Bacterial small subunit ribosomal RNA
Source: RNAcentral
UGCCAGCAGCCGCGGUAAUACGUAGGUCACAAACGUUGUCCGGAAUUAUUGGGCGUAAAGGGUCCGUAGGCGGUUCGGUAAGUCUCUUGUGAAAUCUUCAGGCUCAACUUGAAGAGGUCGGGGGAUACUGCCGAACUUGAGACUGUCAGAGGCAAGUGGAAUUCCCGGUGUAGUGGUGAAAUGCGUAGAUAUCGGGAGGAACACCAGUGGCGAAAGCGGCUUGCUGGGACAGUUCUGACGCUGAGGGACGAAAGCGUGGGUAGCAAACCGGAUUAGAUA